This 30-nucleotide small RNA is filed under the name Bombyx mori (domestic silkworm). RNAcentral's name for it is "ovarian small RNA-1949". The record is from RNAcentral. Lineage: Eukaryota; Metazoa; Arthropoda; Insecta; Lepidoptera; Bombycidae.
UAUGAAUGUGCUAUGGCUUGAAUUGCCCGC